Molecule: long non-coding RNA, 3525 nt
Organism: Neopsephotus bourkii (Bourke's parrot)
Lineage: Eukaryota; Metazoa; Chordata; Aves; Psittaciformes; Psittacidae
Exons: 6
Source: RefSeq, a predicted model, not a curated record
AAUCCUCUCCUGUGUGUGUGGUUGAUGUUAUUCCAUAACUAUUUCGACAGGGUAAUUCCGUAACUAUUUCUGCGAGACACUGGAAGAGAUAAGGGCUGCAGAAGUAAAAAAGGCUAUUUCCUAUCGAAGAUCCUGCUGGAGCCCUGAUCAAGCACCCAAUGUGGAGCAGCUUUUGGCACUUUGUUUUUCAGCAGGACUUCUGGAUCUUAAAUCACAAGCUCCCAUAGCUUCAGUCACAGAAAAGAGACAGGUUGUCUGCUGGUAUCUAUAUUGCAGAAGCAGGUGGUCAACAAAUUACUCAGGGUUUUUAAAUGGUGUUUAAUUAGAAUCACCUGGAAAAAGGGGGCAGCACAUAGAAAAUCUACUUCAUAGAGUUCUAGAGAGGCUUCUGGAAAUGAUACAGUUUUGAAGAUGUUCAUAUUUUUAUGAGGGUAAGCAAGAGGAGAAAGCAAAUUGUUCUUGGCUGCUCCUUUUUAUAAGGAACAAUGCAAGUUCAAAUUGGUCUGUAAGUUUCAGAAACUUUGGGCUUAUUGAGGAGGCUACCUGACCACUCUUCUGGUAAAGCAUUAGUAAAAGUUGAGAAUACAAAAUCUUCCAAAAUGUGCUUGUGUAGACACAUUUCACUUGAGAGACCAAGUUCUUGAAUAUCUGAGGGCAGUUUGAGUUGUAAAGAUUUUAUGUGGCCUCAAGACUGUGAAGGUCUGUACCCUUCCUAGCUGCUGCCUUCAUGAGCUUUUUUGUUUGUUUGUUUGCUUUUUUUUUUUUUUUAAUAGAUUCCUUAUUCUAAACCAUCCCAUGAUCUAGAGUCACGUGGAGAACAGAUGCUGAAUUCUACACCUUUUUUAAUGCCAUGUGCUGAAAAUCCAAUGGUUUCUCCUUUUCAGUUAGAAAUACUGAGAAAACACGGGCCCCUGACAUAAGCUUCCUGGACAUUAUUUCUCCAUUUCAUGUACCUGAAACAGGUACUAAAGCUAUUAUUUCUGGUUUGUAUUCAUGGGCUUUAAAAAUAAACUAUUUUUUAUAUAUUCCAAAUUCCUGAUUGCAGCUAAAAACCGUUUUUUUUUUUUUAGUUAAUAAAUAAUUUCUGACUUCAUUGUAGUAUUUACAGGAACAAUGAAGCCUAAAAUCUUGUUUUGAAUGGAACUUUCGAUUUAAUGGAGGAACAAUGAAUGGUAAAAUUGUGUAUUACAACUAUCACGCAUUUAAAAUUUGAUACGUGAUAGAUGUUGUGAAAACCAUGGAAUUUGGGGCUGCAUAAAAAUGUAUACAUGCUUAUCCAAAAUAAUUACAUCUAUAAGAUUUCUAAUUGGGUCCAGUGACAUAGUACACUUGCAGUUCUUCCCCUACCCUCGCCAAUGUUAGGUCCUUUCACAAGUACUUCUCCUCUUCCCUACUGCUUCUUUGCGGGUGGGUGACCUGCUGGCUUCCUUUCCCUGUCUUAUUUCACCACAGGCACAAUCAAAUCAUCUCAACUGGUGACCCUUCUGACAAGGAACUGCAGAAAUGAAGUUUCUUCAUCCACUUUGAAUUUGGUGCGUGUCCCACAGGGUUAUUUUGGGAUUUCUGAGGUGCAGGGCAAAGAGAAGUAAAUCUGUACAAUUCUGAAAAAGUGCUGCUAAGAAAAGUUCUUAUGAAUAUAUUGCUUUAUUUUGGGAUCAUCUGCAUUUGAAGUACUACAGGCUUAUAUUUUAAGAAGUUUCAUCUUGGUGACCUUUUUCAUUCAGAUCCCAAAAUUAACCCAUAACCCUUCAGUAAAGACUUACCAGGGAAGACCAGUCUAGGUAACAGGAGCCUUUGCCAGCCAGUAAACACUGGCAUCACUCAUUUACUGUAGCUCCAAUUAAUGGUAGUAGAAGUUACACUUGUAAAUUCCCCCACGCAUUAAUGAGCGAACAGACUCCCUCUAUUUAGUUAACCAUCUUCCAGUUACCUGGCACUUUCCCCAUCCCUUGUGAGAUCUCAAAUAUUUAAUUAAAGCCUUUUUUUUUCUUUUUUUUCUUUUUUCUUUCUUUUUUUUUUUUUUUUUCCUCCCCCCACUCUCCUUCAUUCAGUUUGUUGAGUUGUAAUUCUUGUUGGCCUGAUGCCUUGGCAGCAUUCAGCACUUCUAAUUGCCUGUAUAGUCUGGCCUAGUCAUGGAGCCUUUUAACUUUCAUUGAGGCUUCCAGCAGUAUCAGCCUUGCUGGUCACAAGCUUCCCACUCAGGUUCCGUUCACAGCCCUUUCGCUGAUUACUUGUUAUGUAUUUAAAGAGCUCCAUACUGUUUAUUUCAUUUCCUAUUUGAGAUAGUCUGUUUGCUUAAUUUUUUUCUAUGCUAAUUUAAUUUUAAACAUAUAGGGCUGUCUUCCUGGUCAAACAAGCCAGAAUUUUGCAUCCGUAUGUUACAUUAAAUAAUAAUAAUACUAAUACAACAAAUAAUAGUCAAUGCUUUCUACUUCUGUAAUGUCUACCAUUCAACGAUCUCAAAGCAUUCUUAUUUUACAAGUGGUAAAAUGGUGUCAAGAGACAUGAACUACUUGUUAAACAUUAUGUGUGACAUCUGUUACAGAGCCAGACACAGGACUGAGUAGUUUGGUUUCACUAAUAGCAGUUAGUCUAAUAAUUGCAAUAUGCUAUAGGAAUUAUUAGGCUAAAAUAUGCUUCAACUGAACGGGCUGUACCCUUGUAGAGGUAUGUACUGUGGAGACUUGUUUUCAGAAUAUCACGUUUGUUGGUAUAUCAGACACAGAAUGGAAAGGGGAAUCCAAUGGGUAUUGAUGUGGUCGCUGUAAAGGUUAGUAACCUCUGUAAGUAUAAGUCAUGUUGGUUUUAUAGUCAUUAUUAUGAAUCACAAACAGACUGUCUUUAGAGUCUUUACUUUUAAUCAGAAAUAGUCUGGUAUAUUUUGUCUCAUUUUGUAUUCUGUGUGAAGAGCUGUAUUUCAGCAAACCUCUCUCUUACUAUGGCUACAGUAAGUCAUUUAUGUCUCUGCAGAGAUAACGUGCUAAUGUUAGGACUUAUGCUAACAUAAUCUGAUUGUGUCCUCUUUCAAUGUUCAGCAGCAUACAGAGAGCAACUGAAAAUGGUCACUACAAUUUGUGGUUUUUAAAGUUGCUUUUGUCCAGCAGCUAAUCAUGGCUGUAUGUUGUGAUGGCUACCACAACUCUCAUCUGUGACCAAAGUCACAUUCCUUUGUAUGAUCACUCUGAAGUAGUCAAUAGCUGAUUUUUCAAUGCCUGCACUUGGCUUUUAGGUUGUGAAUGCUUAUAUGCAUUGUUAUUACAUAUAUGUCUUCUUCUUCCCAAGGUCAGACAGCAGAAUGCAAGACUGAAGAAGAACUAAUGUGACUGUAUCUGUAGUAUAUGUGAGUGGAGGUCAAGCAAGUAAAAAGAAGGAGAAAUCACUGCUGGCUGGGAAAGGUUCCCUAAUGUGUAGGCUACUUCAGUAAGGAAUGCACUUCAUCUCAAAAGCCUGUUUGACUGUAUUGGAGCUGUGCCAGUUUAUACCAGCUGGUCUCAUGAAAUUGCAAGCCACUCAGGAUCCUGGAUU